This 83-nucleotide ribosomal RNA is filed under the name Chloroflexota bacterium. RNAcentral's name for it is "Chloroflexi bacterium (marine sediment metagenome) partial 16S ribosomal RNA". It matches the Rfam family "Bacterial small subunit ribosomal RNA", at positions 1 to 83 of the family's 1533-position model. The record is from RNAcentral. Lineage: Bacteria; Bacillati; Chloroflexota.
UUUAUAGAGAGUUUGAUCCUGGCUCAGGGUGAACGCUGGCGGCGCGCUUAAUGCAUGCAAGUCGAACGUGCCUUCGGGCAAGU